CCUACGGGGGGCUGCAGUAAGGAAUAUUGGACAAUGGGCGGAAGCCUGAUCCAGCCAUGCCGCGUGAAGGAUGAAGGCGCUCAGCGUUGUAAACUUCUUUUGGAUGGGGACAAUAACCUCCAUUUAUGGGGGCUUGAGGGUACCAUCAGAAUAAGCACCGGCUAACUCCGUGCCAGCAGCCGCGGUAAUACGGAGGGUGCAAGCGUUAUCCGGAAUCACUGGGUUUAAAGGGUGCGUAGGCUGUUAGAUAAGUCAGUUGUGAAAUUCCCCGGCUUAACCGGGUGGACUGCGAUUGAUACUGUUUAACUUGAAUGAGGUUGAGGUAGGCGGAAUGUGGCAUGUAGCGGUGAAAUGCUUAGAUAUGCCAUAGAACACCGAUUGCGAAGGCAGCUUGCUGGGCCUUCAUUGACGCUGAGGCACGAAAGCGUGGGGAGCAAACAGGAUUAGAUACCCCGGUAGUC
Molecule: ribosomal RNA, 461 nt
Filed under: uncultured Saprospiraceae bacterium
Lineage: Bacteria; Pseudomonadati; Bacteroidota; Saprospiria; Saprospirales; Saprospiraceae
Description: bacterial SSU rRNA
Rfam family: Bacterial small subunit ribosomal RNA
Source: RNAcentral